Non-coding RNA from Pelobates cultripes (western spadefoot toad), 2500 nucleotides. NCBI's taxonomy places the organism in Eukaryota, Metazoa, Chordata, Amphibia, Anura, Pelobatidae. The record is from the annotation of a GenBank genome assembly.
CCAGCAGCACCAUAUAAUGUAUGCAUGUUCAGGUGAGUGCAGCCCUCUUGGUUUCUUCUAUAAUUAAUAAUACAGAUAUGACAUGGAAAUGCAUUUUGCACAACGUGUUCAAUUUUGGAAUGUGUGUAAUGAAAGGUGUUCUUGGCCAUCUGAGAUUUCCAUUUUCAUUCUCAGUUGACUAUUACUGCUCCACCCAAAAUCUCAGCCAUGCUGCUACUUCCACACGAUUAUAAUUUCUACUGGCCAGUCUAAAAUAAUUGAGAAGGUAUUUUUUCCAUCUAUACUGAGACAGUGAUAUUACACACUGUUACAGACACCAUAGAAUGGUGACACCAGGUCCAUGUAGAAUUGCAUUAGACUUGUCAGUAAAAGCAAAAAAUUCAAGAAACCACUGUGGUACUCUGCAGAUGUGGCCAAAAUAGUAAAAAACUAAAAGUUAGCAUUUAGUAAUUAUAAAAAACUCUGAGUGAGGAAGAUAGUCAGAUCUAUAAGAUUAGGCAGAAAGAAGCUAAGCAACUUAAACGAUCUUCCAAAUCACACACAAAGAGAAAAUUGCACAGUCAGUAAAAAAAGGGGACAAGACAUUUUUAGAUACAUAAAUGAGAAGUAAAGUAAAACAAGGAUUAGUUAGAUUAAAAACAAAAGAAAGAAGGUAUGUAGAAGAGGAUAAAGGUCUAGCUGACUGCCUCAAUUAAUAUUUUUGUUCAGUAUUUACAGAUGAAAAUGGAGAGGCGCCUCAGUUAGGGAAAAGGACAAAUGAGUAAUUUGUUACAUGUGAGUUUACAGAGGAAGAGGUUCUAUUUCAGCUGUCAAACGUAAACACAAAUAAGUCAAUGGGACCAGAUGGAAUACACCCAAAGUUAUUAAAAGAGCUUAGUGGUGUACUAGCAAAACCAUUAACAGAUUUAUUUAACCAAGAUCAGAGACAACAUGGGUUUACUUCAGGGAGAUCAUGCCAAACUAAUCUUAUUGAUUUUUUUGAUUGGGUAACUAAAAUAAUAGAUCAGGGUGGUGCAGUAGACAUUGCUUACCCAGAUUUCAGUAAGGCUUUUGACACUGUUGCACAUAGAAGGCUUAUCAAUAAACUGCAAUCUUUAAGUUUGCAUUCCAAUAUUGUAGAAUGGGUAAGGCUCAGGUUGACCAUGAGAACUGAGAAUAAAGCGUGUUUUCUCUACAGUAAGGCAAGCCAUUUCCAAAUGAAUGUGCAGACAAAUUCAAUAACUUGUGUAUACAAGUCUCUACUAGUUAUUAAAUCUUCCAGUGCAUUUCUAUACAGUAAGACAAGCCAUUUCAAAAUUAAUGUACACACAAAUUCAAUAACUUGUGUACACAAGUCUCUACUAGUUAUUAAAUCUUCCAGUGCAUUAACUAGACUAUAUGGCCAUUAAUAUCAAUCUAUGCUAGAACAUGCUUUAAAUGAAUGCUCUGCCCUGAACUUUUUUUCAGAAAUAUAAGACAAAACAAAUCACUGUAGGUGUACUUCUUCAGAAAUAAAAUGGUUUGCUAUCCAUCAUUUAAAGGAUGCCUACAAGAAUAAAAAAAGUCUGCUGUUAUCCCAAGAGGCAUAUUUUUAUAUUAUGAUAGAAUCUCAAUCUACUUUAAUAUAUUAUAAGGUAAAAAUCAGUUCACCUACUGAUUAUACAUAUGUAAUAUAAGUCUAUUUAUACAACCUCUGUAUUUCAAAUAAGCUAGUACUCGCCCUACUCUUUAAAGGUGGCAAAAUCAAUAUUAUCAUGCAUGUUUUUGGAAUUAAGUGAAUUUCAGGAAGUUUCUCCUAUGUGGAACAAUUUAAAUGAUGAGUUAAUUUGCCUGCAAUUACAAUGGCUCAAAGUUUAUCAUUUGUAAAUCAGAAUAUCCUCUGGGAAGGCCAAAAUAUAUUAUUCUGCUACCUUUUGUAAAACUAUACACUUUAGAUUGUUUGCUUAGUGCUAGAAUUAGUCCAUUAGUGACUUUCUAGUAAAAAAAAGGAAGAUGGAGUUAUAAGAAAAAUGUGUUUAUAUAAGUCUGAAUUUGGUGGCCAUACUAGAAAUAAAACAAUCCCAGGAGCUUCUGCCAAACCUUCAAAACUAUCCAAAGGCAAACAUUGACCAUGAACAUUGUUGGACAUUAUAAAAUGUAUGUAGUUUUGUCAAUAGUAUUGUUUGCUUUUUAACAGGCACAACAAAUCCCAGCACUGAUGUGCUUACAUUUAAUUGUGUGACUAAUGGUUCUGAAGAAAUGAUAGUUCACAUCCACCCACUUCCUACAUUAGCCUUCAGGUGGUAUCGGUAACUUUGUUUAGCCAACUUUGGACAGUGGGAGCAGUUGUUCUCUUUGGCUGUAUUUAGGCCAAACUGGUACUAAACAAAUGUACAGUAUGCUUGGAAAUGAAAUAGUCCAGUUAGUUCCACUCUCCACGUCCAACUGUGUCACAGCAACUGUCUGAGUAACCUGUCAUGCCCUUUCUUCCAGACUUAGGUGACUGUUUAUUACAUAUUUUUGGAUGUAAAUGAAGAAAUAA